This 125-nucleotide non-coding RNA is filed under the name Roseivirga sp. RNAcentral's name for it is "Fabibacter sp. SAM-I sequence". It matches the Rfam family "SAM riboswitch aptamer (S box leader)". Rfam says of the family: The SAM riboswitch is found upstream of a number of genes which code for proteins involved in methionine or cysteine biosynthesis in Gram-positive bacteria. The record is from RNAcentral. Lineage: Bacteria; Pseudomonadati; Bacteroidota; Cytophagia; Cytophagales; Roseivirgaceae.
GAUUUAUAAAGAAGCGUGGAGAGACUGGCUCUUUGAAGCGCUAGCAACCAUUCCGAAAACCAUUGGAAAAGGUGCUAAGUCCAGAUCCCAAAGGGUGUCGAGUGACAUUCGGGAGAAUAUAAAUU